GAUUUUAUUUUUUUUUAAUAAAAUAAAAAAAAAAAUUUAUAAUAAACACAUUGUAAUGGUACGUAAUUUUUAAUUAUUAUUAUUAAAUAACGUUUAAAUAGAUAUUUUAAAUAAUAUCAGCCAUUAAAUUUUAUUCUUAUACAAAUUUUUUUUGUUAUCAUUAUUUAUAAUAAAAUAAUAU
This 181-nucleotide unclassified non-coding RNA is filed under the name Strongyloides fuelleborni fuelleborni. RNAcentral describes it as "ITS1". Lineage: Eukaryota; Metazoa; Nematoda; Chromadorea; Rhabditida; Strongyloididae. The record is from RNAcentral.